Molecule: long non-coding RNA, 4008 nt
Organism: Oncorhynchus tshawytscha (Chinook salmon)
Lineage: Eukaryota; Metazoa; Chordata; Actinopteri; Salmoniformes; Salmonidae
Source: Ensembl
CCAUUGGUUUAUAUUUAUUGUCCUGUAUAUAAUAACUGGUAAACUACAACUAAGUGACUUUUAUACAAUUCAAAGGUUUAGCAUUGUACUCUUAAUAACGAAACAUGUUUAGAUUAUUGAAGGUAACACAGAAUGAGUGACAGGAGGCUUGACAAAUGGGAAGGAAGACAGGGUCUCUGGUUGCAUCAUCACCAGCAGCUGUCCCAGCUAGCACAUUUGGUUCCUUGGAAGCUGUGGGAACGUACAUUUUAAGUAGUUAAGAUUCCUGACGGUUAAAACAAAAACGUUUUGUAUUACUUUCUGAGAAUAGAAGUGAAAACUUAGCCUGUUCUGGGCACGUUAAUAUUUAGGUUGCAGGGUUCCCCUGAAAGCCAGCCUGGGAGUUUUUUUAUUAACAUUCUGAGAAUGGAAAUUCAAGGAUAUUUUGAAGGUAAUUAAAUAACGUUCUGAGAACAUGUUUCAGUAAGACUUUUAAUAACGCUGCUAGUUUAGUUUGGGUUAACUGUUAUGAACUCCCAGCACAGAUAGGACACAUGGACAGUUAUUUUUCUGGGCAUUAAAUCAUGCAAACACAUUCCUUUUUUAUUGUGGCAUGUGAGAUUCAAACCUAUGAUCUUCUGUUCUCUAUCCAUGGAAUUAGUCCACAGCUCCACCAAGAUGGAGCUAGCAUGCCAUGUUAAAAAGAAAAACUCAAACAAACCUGUUCAUUUUAGUCUUUACAAACAGACCCUAGUUAUUUCUCAACGUUCUGUGAACGUGACUUUAAAUAGAACCGUGAAGAAACCUGUAGAAAACAUUUUUGCUGAAGUACUGAAAUUCCCACAGAAGAAUGUUAUAAAACUGUAGUAAAAAUGUAAUGGGACAGUUGUAUACUAAAUAAACAUAGUACGUUCAAGCUCUAACCAAGCUCUAAGAAACAUAUGGUUUUCAGAACGUUAUGUGCUAGCUGGGGACCUAUCAGCACGGAGACAGGGAACAUGAUUGACAUCAAGUGGGACUACCUGUGUCUGGGUGCAAGCGUUUUGCUAGCUGGGGCAUUUGCCACAUACAGAGUUUAGGUGACCCACUGGCUUGUAAAACAAGCAGACCCUCUGUCUUUGACCUCAUGUCAGGUCAGAGCCGGUUACCAGGACACCUCUGGUUAAAAGCAGGGUGUAGGGGAUAGAUUAGCCUUAUACAGCAGGGGCAAUGUGAUUGGUAACACCGACCACAAACUCGCCCAAUCAAAACACCUUUGUCUGCAGAGAGCCAAUCCAGGACUGGUUUAUGAGUUCGACAGUAGGAGUUGGUAGAAGUGGAGCUUUGGAGCCCUGCAGAAUAACAGCCCCUCUAAGACUGUAACUAGGCAUCCCCUGCACCAGGAGACAGACAGACAGGUAACAGUCCCCCUAAGACUGUAACUAGGCAUCCCCUGCACCAGGAGACAGACAGACAGGUAACAGCCCCUCUAAGACUGUAACUAGGCAUCCCCUGCACCAGGAGACAGACAGUCAGGUAACAGCCCCUCUAAGACUGUAACUAGGCAUCCCCUGCACCAGGAGACAGACAGACAGGUAACAGCCCCUCUAAGACUGUAACUAGGCAUCCCCUGCACCAGGAGACAGACAGACAGGUAACAGCCCCUCUAAGACUGUAACUAGGCAUCCCCUGCACCAGGAGACAGACAGACAGGUAACAGUCCCUCUAAGUAACCCUGUGUAAGAGCAUUAUACAUCAAGGGAUUGAAAACCCGGUCCCCAUAGCAACAAGCUAUUAAAGGAAGCAGAAGUUUUCAUGACAAAAAAAAGGAUUUGGGUUAAAACAAUUGACGUUCUGUUUGUUCAUAGAUGAAAACGUGUUCAUAUGCAGCAAUUCUAUCUCCCAUUAAAUAUUAAGAUCUCAACAACACGGUUCUUCAAAGUGUUUUUAAAAACAUUCGAUGAGACAAAAAAACAAAUAAAUAAUCAAAUAAAUAAACAAAUAAAUAACAUAAGAAAUAGAUAAAUAAUUGGAAUAAAUAACUGAACAAAUAGCUGUGGAUAAAAGAUAGACCCACAUGAUCGCAUGGAUGCUUUUGCAGAAAAUAUCUUUAGAAAGAGCAUCUUUCCAGAGCGACUUCACAUCACUGGUCAUUGAGCAAGAGGUCUGGACAUAAUAAAUAGUGGAAUAAGGAAGAGAGGAAAAAGUACAUGAUAAUCAAACAUCUGUCCCUUGUUUUUUUUUUGCCUCAGUGUGUGAUUACAGGUCAGGAAUGUCAGGGCCAUGUUCGGUAACAAAAUGUUCUCGAUCGUUUCAGAUAUAAAUACCACAAAUAGGGCCGACGUGAUUCCUUAUUCUACAUCUCAGAGAUCCAUGUUUGUUCUACAUAGCAUACUUCUAUCUGAAUGUGCCCCAAGUCAGAAUAGGGGCAGGGACAGAUGCACCCUGGGACCUGUAGUCCUAUAAUGGCAGGGGGAGGGACAGAUGCACCCUGGGACCUGUAGUCCUGUAGUGGCAGGGGCAGGGACAGAUGCACCCUGGGACCUGUAGCCAUGUAGUGGCAGGGGCAGGGACAGAUGCACCCUGGGACCUGUAGUCCUGUAAUGGCAGGGGCAGGGACAGAUGCACCCUGGGACCUGUAGUCCUGUAGUGGCAGGGGCAGGGACAGAUGCACCCUGGGACCUGUAGUCCUGUAAUAGCAGGUGCAGGGACUGAUGCACCCUGGGACCUGUAGUCCUGUGGUGGCAGGGGCAGGGACAGAUGCACCCUGGGACCUGUAGUCCUGUAGUGGCAGGGGCAGGGACAGAUGCACCCUGGGACCUGUAGUCCUGUAGUCGCAGGCAGCUCUCUGGUACAAGCAGCAGUCUUCCUCCUUUCUGUUGCAUCAUCAUGCGAAGUCACCAUCAAAUAACAAGCCUCUUCCAAAAAAAAUCACAUAGAAUAUACAGUGCAUAGUUUACAAGCCAGAACUUACAGUUUAGAAUCAUCUAUACAUCCUGAUAUAUCAGUUCCCUUCUGCAUGCUAAAUCAUCAGCCAUCUUUUCUUUUGUUCUUUAUCGCAUCUGUUUUGAUCUCUCUGGUUCCUAAGCAUAAGUGUCUUUGGGGAAAUUACGUCAUGACAUUGGAGGAAGAAUUUCCCAGUGCUGUUUGAUUUGAUUUGAUUUCUUUCACUUGUAUCUCUUCUUUUCAUCUUCUUUGACAAACUCCGUGGAAGUGUCCCAAUGCUGGAACAUUUUUUUUUUUUUUGGGGGGUUUACUUUUGCUAUGCAGAAACAUAUAGAGAAAGUGCUUACAGAAUAGUUCUUUAUCAAUUAUUUUCUAAAAGCAUGAUCUGAAAAAUGUUAUUUUAAAUUGUGCCUGUGUGAAGACAAAUGGAUAUUUCAGAUCCAGGCUCUGGUUAACGCUGGUAUUCAGAGAUGGAGACUGAGGAUGGUAGAAAAAACAGAGAAGGUCUGACCCUGUGUUUGGACCAAUCAGGGACGCAUAACAUGAUUUAUCUCCCUCCCCCUCUCUCUCCCUCAAUCUCUCCUGCUGUUCUCCCCCAUCUAUCUCUCUCUCUCUCCCCCCCCAACUCCCCCUCUCUCUGUCUCUCUCUCAUCAGAAGCCGGGGCUUUCAUAGCUGCUGCGACUGUAGUUGCUGUGGCUCCUGGGGCUGCGUGAGCGGCUGUGGCUCCUGGGGCUGCGUGAGCGGCUGUGGCUCCUGGUGUGGCUGUGACUGCAGCUGUAGCUGCGGCUGCGACUCCUCCCUGAAUGGGAGGGGCUUGACAUGGAACUGGAGGAGGAAGGGCUGGGGCGGUAGUACGGGAUAGGCCGCUUCCGAGCGCUGAGGAGAGGAGAGGGUAGGAGAUUAGACAGUACAUAAAGCUCUUGUAGGAGUUAGUUAGUGUGAGGAGGACCAGCACAUUGACAGCUGACCAGAGAGCGUGUUUUCUUGUCUCGGUUACAGUAUGGUCCAGUAGGAAUGCUUUACGUUUUGCAACAUAAUCCAUUUUUGAAAUACUCUCAGAAUUUAAAUAUCAAAUGUAUUUAAAAAAAUAUAUGUAUAAAUAA